AUUAAAUAAUUUAUUAUUUAUUUAUAUAUGAAUUUUAAGUUAAUUAAAAUAAUAGGUAUUUUAUUAUAUGAAUAGAAAAAAUAUUUUUUAUUAUAGUUUAUCAGUAUUGUGAAAGAAAACUGUUUAAAUAUGGAAAAGAAUAAUUUAUUUUUAGUACCUUGGGUAUCAGGGUUGAUUAAAUAUUGACUUUGUAUAAAGAAUUCUCGAAUUUAAAAGAGCUAAUUUAUUAUAUCUAUUAUUGUGGAAUAACUAUUGUAAAUAGUAAAUUAGAAAUGAAACGUUAUUCGUUUUUGAAUAUAUCUAGUUUUUUAAGAAAAAAAUUCAAUUUGUUAAUUAUAAAUAUUAUAUUAUUUUAUUAAUUAGUUAUUAGUAAUUAGUUAUAUUUUAGGGGAUAAGCUUUAAAAUAGAUCUUUAUAACUAGGAUUUAAGUUAAUUAAAUGUAGGAUUAGAAUUUUUUACCAUUAAAAAAAUGUUAUAGUUUAUUAUUUUUUUAAUAUAAUUUUCUUUAGUUUAGAUUUUUUAUUAAAAUAUACUUUUUAAUUGAAAAAGAGUAGAAAUAAUGAUUAAAUUAGUAUAAUUUUUUUUAUAAAUAAAUACAGUGAUUAAGGUUUUUAAAAGGAACUCGGCAAAAUAUUUUCUUACCUGUUUAUUAAAAACAUGUCCUUUUGAUAUUUAUAUAAGGUCUGGCCUGCCCAAUGAAUCAUUUUAAAUGGCCGCGGUACUCUGACCGUGCAAAGGUAGCAUAAUCAUUAGUUUUUUAAUUGAAAGCUGGAAUGAAAGGUCGGAUAAGGGAAAUACUGUCUCUUAGAAAUUUUAUUAGAACUUUAUCUUUAAGUCAAAAAGCUUAAAUUUUAUUUAAAGACGAGAAGACCCUUUAGAGUUUUAUAUAAUUAGUUAAAUGCUGUCGAUUAGUAUUAAUUAAAUGGUCUUUAGUUAUUAUAUUUGGUUGGGGUGAUUGAAAAACUUAAUAAACUUUUUCUUUUAUUAUACAUUGAUUUAUGAAUAUUUGAUCCAAUGAUUUUGAUUACAAGAUUAAAUUACCUAAGGGAUAACAGCGUUAUUUUUUUUGAGAGUUCAAAUCGAAAAAAAAGAUUGCGACCUCGAUGUUGGAUUAAAAUUAAAUUAUGGUGCAGAAGCUAUAACUUUAGGUCUGUUCGACCUUUAAAAUUUUACAUGAUCUGAGUUUAAACCGGCGUAAGCCAGGUUGGUUUCUAUCUUAAAUUUACGAUAAUAUUUUAGUACGAAAGGACCAAGUAUUAGAUUUAUAGUUUGAUUUUUGAAUAUGAUUAA
Molecule: ribosomal RNA, 1290 nt
Filed under: Cucujoidea sp. 45 KM-2017
Lineage: Eukaryota; Metazoa; Arthropoda; Insecta; Coleoptera
Description: 16S ribosomal RNA
Rfam family: Archaeal large subunit ribosomal RNA (bases 1048-1206)
Source: RNAcentral